Molecule: small nuclear RNA, 298 nt
Filed under: Salvator merianae (Argentine black and white tegu)
Lineage: Eukaryota; Metazoa; Chordata; Lepidosauria; Squamata; Teiidae
Description: 7SK RNA (ENSSMRG00000009727.1)
Rfam family: 7SK RNA
About the family: 7SK was discovered as an abundant small nuclear RNA in the mid-70s but a possible function has only recently been suggested. Two independent studies have found that 7SK RNA binds the CDK9/cyclin T complex (known as elongation factor P-TEFb).
Source: RNAcentral
AGGGCAAUCUGGUUGGGAUGCCCGUCACUGCAUUAAUCACCAGGGUUGAUUCAGCUGAUCUGGCAGGCUCUGUGGGAGUCCUCUUCCUCCCUCACUACUCUGUGUGCAUCCCUCCCAAAGCUGUGUGCUCAGUGGAAGUGACCAACCAUCCCAUAUAGAAGNACUAUACCAUUAGUCAAGAGCUGUGCUCUCCUGCUAGAACCUCCAAGCAAAGAGGAAGAAAUAGAGGAGAGUGAGAUGUCUUUGCCUUUAUAUCUAUAGUCUGGGUGAUGAAUGACAUACAUUAUGAAAAUUAUGU